AGAGUUUGAUCCUGGCUCAGAACGAACGCUGGCGGCGUGGAUUAGGCAUGCAAGUCGAACGGGAUUUGCUUGGUUCAAGUUUUCGGACGAGAACCUUGCAAUGAGAGUGGCGGAAGGGUGAGUAACACGUGGGUAACUUGCCCUCAAGUGCGGGAUAGCCCCCCGAAAGGGAGGAUAAUACCGCAUGUGGUCGUCUCCCGCAUGGGAGACUUUCUAAAGGUGGGGAUCUUCGGACCUGCCGCUUGAGGAUAGGCCCGCGUCCCAUCAGCUUGUUGGUGAGGUAACGGCCCACCAAGGCUUACGGGUAGCUGGUCUGAGAGGAUGGUCAGCCACACUGGGACUGAGACACUGCCCAGACUCCUACGGGAGGCUGCAGUCGAGAAUCAUUCGCAAUGCGCGAAAGCGUGACGAUGCGACGCCGCGUGCAGGACGACGGCCUUCGGGUUGUAAACUGCUGUCAUGAGGGAGUAACGAGGACCGGGUGAAUAGCCCGGACCUGUGAGAGUACCUCAGGAGGAAGCCACGGCUAACUCUGUGCCAGCAGCCGCGGUAAUACAGAGGUGGCAAGCGUUGUUCGGAUUUACUGGGCGUAAAGGGUGCGUAGGCGGUUCCGUGUGUCAGAUGUGAAAGCCCACUGUUCAUCGGUGGAAUUGCAUUUGAAACUGCGGGGCUUGAGUUCGGGAUGGGAGAGCGGAAUUCCUGGUGUAGCGGUGAAAUGCGUAGAUAUCAGGAGGAACGCCGGUGGCGAAGGCGGCCCUCUGGAACGACACUGACGCUGAGGCACGAAAGCUAGGGGAGCAAACAGGAUUAGAUACCCUGGUAGUCCUAGCUGUAAACGUUGUGUACUUGGUGUGGGAGGAUUUAGCCCCUUCCGUGCCGGAGCUAACGCGUUAAGUACACCGCCUGGGGAGUACGGUCGCAAGGCUAAAACUCAAAGGAAUUGACGGGGGCCCGCACAAGCGGUGGAGCAUGUGGCUUAAUUCGAUGCAACGCGAAGAACCUUACCUGGGUUUGACAUGUGACUGCACGCUGGCCGAAAGGCCGGAAGCCUUCGAGGGUGUCACACAGGUGCUGCAUGGCUGUCGUCAGCUCGUGCCGUGAGGUGUUGGGUUAAGUCCCGCAACGAGCGCAACCCUUAUAUUUAGUUGCCAGUCCGCAAGGGCGCACUCUAAAUAGACUGCCUGUGAUAAGCAGGAGGAAGGUGGGGAUGACGUCAAGUCAGUAUGGUCCUUAUAUCCAGGGCUGCACACGUGCUACAAUGGCCGGUACAAAGGGAAGCAAGACCGCGAGGUGGAGCCAAUCCUCAAAGCCGGCCCCAGUUCGGAUUGAAGUCUGCAACUCGACUUCAUGAAGCCGGAAUCGCUAGUAAAGGGGCAUCAGCUACGGCCCCUUGAAUACGUUCCCGGGCCUUGUACACUCCGCCCGUCACAUCAUGAAAGCCGAUUGCACACGAAGUCGCUGGUCUAACCCGCAAGGGAAGAAGGCGCCGAAGGUGUGGUUGGUAAUUGGGAUGAAGUCGGAACAAGGUA
RNAcentral lists this ribosomal RNA (1529 nucleotides) under metagenome. RNAcentral's name for it is "bacterial SSU rRNA". It matches the Rfam family "Bacterial small subunit ribosomal RNA". The record is from RNAcentral.